RNAcentral lists this ribosomal RNA (425 nucleotides) under uncultured bacterium. Its description in RNAcentral is "partial 16S ribosomal RNA". It matches the Rfam family "Bacterial small subunit ribosomal RNA", at positions 354 to 796 of the family's 1533-position model. The record is from RNAcentral.
GUUAGGAAUCGUACACAAUGGGCGAAAGCCUGAUGUCGUGACGCCGCGUGAAGGAAGAAGGUCUUCGGAUUGUAAACUUCUUUUUUAUGGGAAGAUUAUGACUUUACCAUAAGAAUAAGCAUCGGCUAACUCCGUGCCAGAAGCCUCGGUAAUACGGAGGAUCCGAGCGUUAUCCGGAUUUAUUGGGUUUAAAGGGUGCGUAGGUGGAUUGAUAAGUCAGCGGUGAAAGUUUGCAGCUUAACUGUAAAAUUGCCGUUGAAACUGUCGGUCUUGAGUGCAAAUGAGGUAGGCGGAAUGUGUUGUGUAGCGGUGAAAUGCUUAGAUAUAACACAGAACUCCGAUUGCGAAGGCAGCUUACUGGGAUGCAACUGACACUGAUGCACGAAAGCGUGGGUAUCAAACAGGAUUAGAAACCCGUGUAGUCC